AACCUCCGCAAUGUGAGAAAUCGCGACGGGGGGAUCCCAAGUGCCAUUCUUAACGGGAUGGCUUUUCAUUAGUGUAAAGAGCUUUUGGAAUAAGAGCUGGGCAAGACCGGUGCCAGCCGCCGCGGUAACACCGGCAGCUCUAGUGGUAACAAUUUUUAUUGGGCCUAAAGCGUCCGUAGCCGGUUUAAUAAGUCUCUGGUGAAAUCCUGUAGCUUAACUGUGGGAAUUGCUGGAGAUACUAUUAGACUUGAGACCGGGAGAGGUUAGAGGUACUCCCAGGGUAGAGGUGAAAUUCUGUAAUCCUGGGAGGACCGCCUGUUGCGAAGGCGUCUAACUGGAACGGUUCUGACGGUGAGGGACGAAAGUUAGGGGCGCGAACCGGAUUAGAUACCCGGGUGUCCUAACUGUAAACGAUGCGGACUUGGUGUUGGGGUGGCUUUGAGCUGCUUCAGUGCCGAAGGGAAGCUGUUAAGUCCGCCGCCUGGGAAGUACGGUCGCAAGACUGAAACUUAAAGGAAAU
Molecule: ribosomal RNA, 520 nt
Filed under: uncultured bacterium
Lineage: Bacteria
Description: bacterial SSU rRNA
Rfam family: Archaeal small subunit ribosomal RNA
Source: RNAcentral